UCCCUGGUGGUCCAGUGGUUAAGACUCUGCACUCCCAACGUAGGGGGUGCAGGUUUGAUCCCUGGUCAGGGAA
Molecule: transfer RNA, 73 nt
Filed under: Capra hircus (goat)
Lineage: Eukaryota; Metazoa; Chordata; Mammalia; Artiodactyla; Bovidae
Also listed under: 1 other name
Rfam family: tRNA
About the family: Transfer RNA (tRNA) molecules are approximately 80 nucleotides in length. Their secondary structure includes four short double-helical elements and three loops (D, anti-codon, and T loops). Further hydrogen bonds mediate the characteristic L-shaped molecular structure. tRNAs have two regions of fundamental functional importance: the anti-codon, which is responsible for specific mRNA codon recognition, and the 3' end, to which the tRNAs corresponding amino acid is attached (by aminoacyl-tRNA synthetases). tRNAs cope with the degeneracy of the genetic code in two manners: having more than one tRNA (with a specific anti-codon) for a particular amino acid; and 'wobble' base-pairing, i.e. permitting non-standard base-pairing at the 3rd anti-codon position.
Source: Rfam by way of RNAcentral